CCUACGGGCGGCAGCAGUGGGGAAUAUUGGGCAAUGGGCGCAAGUCUUACCCAGCAACGCCGCGUGAAUGAAGAAGGCCUUCGGGUUGUAAACUUCUUUUGUCAGGGACGAAACAAGUGACGGUACCUAACGAAUAAGCCACGGCUAACUACGUGCCAGCAGCCGCGGUAAUACGUAGGGGGCAAGCGUUGUUCGGAAUGAUUGGGUGUAAAGGGUGUGUAGGCGGUGAAGCAAGUUAGAAGUGAAAAACCUGGGGCUUAACCCAGGGGCUGCUUCUGAACCUGUUUUUCUUGAGUGCAGUAGAGGAAAGCGGAAUUCCGUGUGUAGCGGUGAAAUGCGUAGAUAUUAGGAGGAACACCAGUGGCGAAGGCGGAUUGCUGGACAGUAACUGACGCUGAGGCGCGAAAGCGUGGGGAGCAAACAGGAUUAGAUACCCCAGUAGUC
Molecule: ribosomal RNA, 444 nt
Filed under: uncultured bacterium
Lineage: Bacteria
Description: partial 16S ribosomal RNA
Rfam family: Bacterial small subunit ribosomal RNA
Source: RNAcentral